Molecule: ribosomal RNA, 407 nt
Filed under: uncultured bacterium
Lineage: Bacteria
Description: partial 16S ribosomal RNA
Rfam family: Bacterial small subunit ribosomal RNA
Source: RNAcentral
AUUGAACGCUGGCGGCAGGCCUAACACAUGCAAGUCGAGCGGAGCGGCGGACGGGCGGGUGAUGCCUAUGUAUCUGCCUGGUCGUGGGGGAUAACGUCCGGAAAGGGGCGGUAAUACCGCAUAUUAUCAGAUGAGUCAAGGUCGGAUUGGCUAGUUGGUGGGGUAGAGGCUUACCAAGGCGACGAUCCGUAACUGGUCUGAGAGGAUGAUCAGUCACACUGGGACUGAGACACGGUCCAGACUCCUACGGGAGGCAGCAGUGGGGAAUAUUGGACAAUGGGCGAAAGCCUGAUGCAGCCAUGCCGCGUGUGUGAAGAAGGUCUUAGGAUUGUAAAGUACUUUAAGUUGGGAGGCGUUACCAACAGAAGAAGCACCGGCUAACUUCGUGCCAGCAGCCGCGGUAAUUC